AUUGGUACUCUAACAACAGCACUGAUCUUUCCAUAGUAAUUAGUAAGUGCUAUUUGUUGGGGUAGUUUGA
Molecule: microRNA precursor, 70 nt
Organism: Astyanax mexicanus (Mexican tetra)
Lineage: Eukaryota; Metazoa; Chordata; Actinopteri; Characiformes; Acestrorhamphidae
Rfam family: miR-430 microRNA precursor family
Source: Rfam